Non-coding RNA from Pteropus alecto (black flying fox), 104 nucleotides. The record is from Rfam. NCBI's taxonomy places the organism in Eukaryota, Metazoa, Chordata, Mammalia, Chiroptera, Pteropodidae.
GUGCUUGCCUCAGCAGCACAUAUACUAAAAUCAGAAUGAUACAAAGAUUAGCAUGACCCCUGUGCAAGGAUGACAUGCAAAUUCAUGAAGUGUUCCAUGUUUUA